CCUACGGGUGGCAGCAGUGGGGAAUAUUGCACAAUGGGGGAAACCCUGAUGCAGCGACGCCGCGUGAGUGAAGAAGUAUUUCGGUACGUAAAGCUCUAUCAGUAGGGAAGUAAAACCGGCCUUAGGGCCGCCAGACGGUACCUGACUAAGAAGCGCCGGCUAACUACGUGCCAGCAGCCGCGGUAAUACGUAGGGGGCAAGCGUUAUCCGGAUUUAUUGGGUGUAAAGGGAGCGUAGAUGGCUUGGCAAGUCAGAUGUGAAAGGCUGGGGCUCAACCCCAGGACUGCAUUUGGAACUGUCAUGCUAGAGUGUCGGAGAGGCAGGCGGAAUUCGUGGUGUAGCGGUGAAAUGCGUAGAUAUUAGGAGGAACACCAGUGGCGAAGGCGGCCUGCUGGACGAUGACUGACGUUGAGGCUCGAAAGCGUGGGGAGCAAACAGGAUUAGAUACCCUUGUAGUC
Molecule: ribosomal RNA, 458 nt
Filed under: uncultured bacterium
Lineage: Bacteria
Description: partial 16S ribosomal RNA
Rfam family: Bacterial small subunit ribosomal RNA
Source: RNAcentral